RNAcentral lists this ribosomal RNA (465 nucleotides) under uncultured bacterium. RNAcentral describes it as "partial 16S ribosomal RNA". It matches the Rfam family "Bacterial small subunit ribosomal RNA", at positions 28 to 507 of the family's 1533-position model. The record is from RNAcentral.
GAUGAACGCUGGCGGCGUGCUUAACACAUGCAAGUCGAACGGAAAGGCUCCUGCUUGCAGGGGUACUCGAGUGGCGAACGGGUGAGUAACACGUGGGUGAUCUGCCCUGCACUUCGGGAUAAGCCUGGGAAACUGGGUCUAAUACCGGAUAGGACCGCAUUUUGGAUGGCGUGGUGGAAAGUUUUUCGGUGUGGGAUGAGCUCGCGGCCUAUCAGCUUGUUGGUGGGGUAAUGGCCUACCAAGGCGUCGACGGGUAGCCGGCCUGAGAGGGUGUACGGCCACAUUGGGACUGAGAUACGGCCCAGACUCCUACGGGAGGCAGCAGUGGGGAAUAUUGCACAAUGGGCGCAAGCCUGAUGCAGCGACGCCGCGUGGGGGAUGACGGCCUUCGGGUUGUAAACUCCUUUCGCUAGGGACGAAGCGCAAGUGACGGUACCUGGAGAAGAAGCACCGGCUAACUACGUG